ACCCCCCGUAACCUAACCCCAAGUCCUAGUCCCACUCCCAUCCUCUCGACAUCUUUACGUCCCUAGCGGCUGGUGGUCGUCCGCCUAUCUGGAUUCGGCCAUCCUAGGCUCCGCCCAUCUGGAUCUGGUGCCUUAGGGACUACCCCCAUCUAGAUCUGGCCAUCCUAGGCUCCAAAGACCGGACACUCGGCACGACGAUCGGCGCCUUAGGCAUGGACACUGAGGAGCCGAGGUGCCCGGGGAUGUCGCGUUCACUGGCAGCGCUGGGAUGUCUUCCAUCGUGCGUAAGCAGCAGUGCCCGUGCUCAAUUCGUUGCUUCUCUGGGGAGCGAGUUUGACGCUCCAUCAUCUCUCCCGCGGCGCUACGUCCUAGUAGUCGUGCCUCCUUCCGUGAAGCAGCAUCGCCGUUGUCGCCAUCGACAUCUUCUCCCCCAGACGAUACAUCCUCUAUUUUAGUUCCCAGUAUAGCAGUUGCUUGGGUGCUAGGGUUUAGGGUUAGCUGUUGCUUUAUUGCAUUGGUGCUUGUGGGCUAACAGUCUAUUUUCAUAAUUUAUAGACACCGGACCCCUGUCAUGCACUUUUCCUGUCAUAGACACCUUAGUAACAGAUGAGUCGUAGCUAUGUGCUUGACAGCUUGGGUGCUUGGGUCCUAACAGAGACAUUGGUUACCAGUGCCCACAACAAUUUUUACUUAGAUUAGACUAGAGUAUAUGAUUCACAGUUAUUCAACCAGAUGCUUGGGUGCUUGGGUGUUUUACAGUUUUUAUUCAAAUAAAGGUGCUAACAGUUAUUCAAACAAAUGCUUGAGUGCUUUAUAGUUUUUAUUCAAACAAAUGUAUUUGCUGUUAUCUGAUUCUGAAAUUAUUUGAUGCUAUCUGUGUAUUUGUUGUUGAAGAAUGCAUGCAACAUGUUUAAUAAUGUAUGCUACUUUGCUAGGUGCUGAGGUAGAUGAUAAUGCCAACGUAGAAGGGGAUGAUGCUUAGUUGGGUUCAACUCUAUCCUGUCCUGUCAGUUUGGAUGGCGAAGGUGGAGUGUUGAGAGCACCAUAGAUGGUUCCAAUAAGAGAAUGAGAACCAGAAUGUCAAAAACUAGGGUUUGGAAAGAUUGGAAGCCUCUCUUCAAAAUCACGAACGAUAAGCAAGUUCGGUAUGCUGCUAUAUGUAAGAUUUGCAAUGUAGAGUUGUUUGCUAAGUCUAGUGGUGGUACUGGUCAUCUAUUGAGGCAUGUUGCUGCUUGUACCGGAACUGUAAUUGCUAUUAUGUGAACUGUAACUGCUACUAUGUCUUCACUGGUGAAAAAUCUUUGUGGUCUGUUUCACUAUUUGUGACUAUGUAGUAUGCGCUUGUAAGGCUGUAACUGCUAUUAUGUAAACUAUAAGUCUGUAACUGCUAAUAUGCUUUUAUGUCUUCACUGGUGAACUAUAAAUAUUUUUGUGGUAUGUUGGUGACUGCGCUAACAACUGAACUGCUAUUAU
RNAcentral lists this long non-coding RNA (1473 nucleotides) under Zea mays. RNAcentral describes it as "long non-coding RNA (ZMAY_LNC002722)". Lineage: Eukaryota; Viridiplantae; Streptophyta; Magnoliopsida; Poales; Poaceae. The record is from RNAcentral.